CAGUAGCCACGGGAAUACGGAGGGGGCUAGCGUUGUUCGGAAUUACUGGGCGUAAAGCGCACGUAGGCGGCUUUGUAAGUUAGAGGUGAAAGCCCGGAGCUCAACUCCGGAAUUGCCUUUAAGACUGCAGAGCUAGCAGGUGAGAGAGGUGAGUGGAAUUCCGAGUGUAGAGGUGAAAUUCGUAGAUAUUCGGAAGAACACCAGUGGCGAAGGCGGCUCACUGGCUCAUACUGGACGCUGAGGUGCGAAAGCGUGGGGAGCAAACAGGAUUAGAUACCCGGGUAGUCCCUGUCUCUUAUAC
Molecule: ribosomal RNA, 301 nt
Filed under: uncultured bacterium
Lineage: Bacteria
Description: partial 16S ribosomal RNA
Rfam family: Bacterial small subunit ribosomal RNA
Source: RNAcentral